Long non-coding RNA from Chelonoidis abingdonii (Abingdon island giant tortoise), 1355 nucleotides. RefSeq lists it as uncharacterized. The record is from RefSeq and is a predicted model, not a curated record. Lineage: Eukaryota; Metazoa; Chordata; Testudines; Testudinidae.
CCUGAGGCUAGCAUAAACUGCAUGGAAGCACGGGACCCACAGGGACAAGGUCGGAGCUCUACCACACAGUGUACACUUUGAAACAACUCCAUUGUGUUUGUCAAUGAUCCUCAAUAGUAAUCAGAAAGCAGUCUGAUCUCCAGGAAAUCAUCAUGUUCCCUGCACCAAUUCUUGUGGCUCUACAGAUACUGGCAGAUCAGGCAUCCGGUGCUUGCAACACUCAUGACAAUAGUGCAGAGCUGUGCAGGCUCCAUACUUCUGUCAGAGAUGGCAGACAGUGACAAGUCCCAUGCAGGAACUCGAAUCCCAUCUCCAGUACAGAAGUGGCCUGUCAAGGAAACUGAGGCAGAAUUUGCUGGAUGAUGUAAUGGGACUGUAACCUUCAAGUUAAACUAAAGAUAAGUGUCCCUGUUAUGAUGACAGCUUGUACAUUUAUGGGAUUUGAAACAGACUCAUGAUCCAUUUUUCAGCAUCCUGCCUCCAACAGAGGACAAUGCCAGAUGUCUCACCAAAAGGCUAUCUAGAUAGAGAAGCACAUGCAGUUGCUGUAUGGUUGACAUGGCUGCAUACUUCAAAGGGAGAAGCACCUGCAUUUUAGAAGUAUUUCUUUUAAAGAUAAAUUGUGCUUGUCUGCAUAUAAACUCUGUGAGGUCAGCAGAUGACAGAUUCAUGUGCUUGUUUAAUAUGAAUUGUAAUCAGUAAGGACCAGAGCUUGUUCACACUGGAGUUAAGAAGAGUUUGGACAUUAACUUCAUUGAGAGCAGGAUUCAGUGAUGAUAAUACCUUGCUCUUAUGUAGCACUCUCCAUCAGGAGAUCUCAAAGUCCUUUACAAAAGAAGUAGUAUUAUGCUAAUUUCAUAUAUGGGGAAAAUGACUUGCCUAAGGUCACUCAACAGGCCAAGUUGGGGGCAGAAGCCAGGACUCCUAAGCCAGUAUGCUAGCUACUAGGCCACACCGCCUCUCGCAGAUAAGUGAAUACAAACUACUCAGAAAUUGCUUACAUUUCUGUCUUUUCUUUUUAAAGGGCCUUAACAAACAGUAAUAAUGGCCCAGGUAUAUCUGCCAUGACAAUGCAUGGCUGUUCCAUAGCAUAAAACAUUUCAAGGGUCCUAAAGUGCUUUGUCCAUUUAUUAAAGCAAGACUCAGGACCACUAAAGCCAAUGGAAGUUUUGCCAUUGACUUCAGUGGAAGGAGGUUCAGGCCCUAAACCUCUCAUCCCCUUGAGGUUGGUGCUAUUAUAUGUAUCUGACAGAUGGGUAAACUGAGGCACAAAGAAUAAGGGCCUGAUUUUCAGAGGCACUGAACACCCACAAUUCCAGCUGAAGUCAAUGGGUGCUCUAGGUGGUUAGCACCUU